GAUGAACGCUGGCGGCGUGCCUAAUACAUGCAAGUCGAGCGAACAGACGAGAGUGCUUGCCCUCACUGACGUUAGCGGCGGACGGGUGAGUAACAUGUGGUUAACCUACCUAUAAGACUGGGAUAACUUCGGGAAACCGGAGCUAAUACCGGAUAAUAUUUAGCGUCGCAUGAAGCAAUAGUGAAAGACGGUUCUGCUGUCACUUAUAGAGGGACCCGCGGUGUAUUAGCUAGUUGGUGAGGUAACGGUUCACCAAGGCAACGAUACAUAGACGACAUGAGAGGGUGAUCGACCACCUGGGGAGUGAGACGGGGCCGCGACACCUACGGGAGGAAGCAGUAGGGAAUCUUCCGCAAUGGAGGAGAGUCUGACAGAGGAAUACCGCGUCAGUGCAGAAGGUGUUAGGAUCGUAAAGCUCGGUUGUAAGGGGGGAACAAAUACGUUAGUAACUGAACGUACCUUGACGGUACCUGACGAAAAAGCCCCGGCUAACUACGUG
This 499-nucleotide ribosomal RNA is filed under the name uncultured bacterium. RNAcentral's name for it is "partial 16S ribosomal RNA". It matches the Rfam family "Bacterial small subunit ribosomal RNA", at positions 28 to 507 of the family's 1533-position model. The record is from RNAcentral.